GCCACUGUGGCUUAGCCUGGUAUAGCGUCUGAUUCGUAAUCAGAAGGUCGGGAGUUCGAAUCUCCCCAGUGGCUCCA
Molecule: transfer RNA, 77 nt
Filed under: Methanobacteriota archaeon
Lineage: Archaea; Methanobacteriati; Methanobacteriota
Also listed under: 1 other name
Description: Euryarchaeota archaeon (freshwater metagenome) tRNA-Thr
Rfam family: tRNA
About the family: Transfer RNA (tRNA) molecules are approximately 80 nucleotides in length.
Source: RNAcentral